UGGGCUGCUGAAGUGGAGCAUGCAAACUUAACCACUCGGCCACGGAGCUGGCCCCACGAAAAGACAGAGAAGGCCUGGAGCACUGUAGAGUGGUGACUGCACCUUGUAGACCUCUAACUACAUGGAUUGUAAUCGACCAAGGGCCCCCACUGCUUCGUUCUGAAAUCCAUAGCAGGAUUUGUAUUGAGUCCAUGCUCCCCACUGGGAGCUACUGGCCAAUAACUGUGUGUGCAAGGAUACUAGGGCUUCUCUGACAGUUGACUUUGGCUCUAGCACUCCAUGAGGGCCUUGCCAAAC
RNAcentral lists this long non-coding RNA (297 nucleotides) under Equus asinus (donkey). RNAcentral's name for it is "lncRNA (ENSEASG00005027711.1)". Lineage: Eukaryota; Metazoa; Chordata; Mammalia; Perissodactyla; Equidae. The record is from RNAcentral.